GCAAAAGUGGCGUAAUUUGGUAGCCGCGUUACCUUGAGGUGGUAAUAAACCUUGUUUGUGUGGGUUCAAGUCCCACCUUUUGCA
RNAcentral lists this transfer RNA (84 nucleotides) under Rhodobiaceae bacterium. RNAcentral describes it as "tRNA-Leu". It matches the Rfam family "tRNA". From Rfam's summary of the family: Transfer RNA (tRNA) molecules are approximately 80 nucleotides in length. The record is from RNAcentral. Lineage: Bacteria; Pseudomonadati; Pseudomonadota; Alphaproteobacteria; Hyphomicrobiales; Rhodobiaceae.